AGACAUCGUUGGCUUAUCUAUGCGGCAGCUUACUGCUGACCGUCAAGGUCAGUAACCAAUGUCUACCCACUGACACCAGUACCCCUGAGCAGGGAGGGUCAGGUAGCUACUUGCAGAACGUGACUAUGGGCUUUCCUCAUCAUGGCGCCCUCUUAGCAAUGGCAACGUGACCGACUUCUCUGAAGUACAAGGAAGCAGAGAGGAAACGUGUCUGCUGGAGCGACUACCUCCGCUGAUUUAAGCCAGCGGUGCUUUGACGCACCAACGCACCAACCCCCCCAAUGGUGUGACAUCAAGUGAGCUGAUCGGCUGGCUGCCAGUGAGGGGUGUAUUCAGGAAGGUGAUUAGGACCAGACGAGGGUCAUCUUGGAUCCACGACACAAUCAUCUGGAGGAGUUCUAAUGGAGGGUACCUGAAGUGAGGUCAUAGAGGGUGGUGACAGCAGUGAUGAACUGGCAGCAGAAGCGUGGGCUGGUGCUGUGGAUGUUCUGAAGGGUGGGUACUGAGCCUGGCACCAUACUACAGUAGUCGUCGACCAGCACCUGCGCCAGACGUACGCAGUACACACGCCAGGUUGCAGCGCAUUCCAAGAUAGGAAUCCUGCCCACAGCGAUUGCCAUUGAGACCAACUUGCCCAACAGUGCCAUGCGGCUUUCGUCUGCCUGGUUGCCUUGGAG
Xiphias gladius (swordfish) is the source of this 677-nucleotide long non-coding RNA. RefSeq lists it as uncharacterized. The record is from RefSeq and is a predicted model, not a curated record. The transcript has 4 exons. NCBI's taxonomy places the organism in Eukaryota, Metazoa, Chordata, Actinopteri, Istiophoriformes, Xiphiidae.